GGGGUCGUGGCUCAGUGGCAGAGCACUCGCCUGACGUGUGAGGCACAGGGUUCUAUUCUCAGCACUGCA
Molecule: transfer RNA, 69 nt
Filed under: Marmota monax (woodchuck)
Lineage: Eukaryota; Metazoa; Chordata; Mammalia; Rodentia; Sciuridae
Description: tRNA.Val
Source: RNAcentral